GGCCCGCUAGCUCAAUCAGGCAGAGCAACUGACUCUUAAUCAGUAGGUUCUCGGUUCGAUUCCGAGGCGGGUCA
Molecule: transfer RNA, 74 nt
Filed under: Chloroflexota bacterium
Lineage: Bacteria; Bacillati; Chloroflexota
Also listed under: 1 other name
Description: Chloroflexi bacterium tRNA-Lys
Rfam family: tRNA
About the family: Transfer RNA (tRNA) molecules are approximately 80 nucleotides in length. Their secondary structure includes four short double-helical elements and three loops (D, anti-codon, and T loops).
Source: RNAcentral